AAUUGGAAAGCAUCAGAAGGAUACACCCAAUUGAAUGCAGAAUUCCAGAAAAUAGCUAGAAGAGAUAGGAAUGCCUUCUUAACUGAACACUGCACAGAAAUAGAAGAAAACAAUAGAAUAGGAAGGACCAGAGAUCUCUUCAAGAAAAUUGGAGAUAUGAAGGGAAUGUUUCAUACAAAGAUGGGCAUGAUAAAGGACCAAAAUGGCAGGGACCUAAC
Long non-coding RNA from Varanus komodoensis (Komodo dragon), 218 nucleotides. RefSeq lists it as uncharacterized. The transcript is spliced from 3 exons. Lineage: Eukaryota; Metazoa; Chordata; Lepidosauria; Squamata; Varanidae. The record is from RefSeq and is a predicted model, not a curated record.